AGGUUUAUAACCUGAUUCAUAUCACCAAUUCCAAACUUGAAAAUACAAUGAUUCAACCGAAUACAUUUAUAUAUAUUUUUUAGUCUAUCAUAAACAUAUAUAAUUAUGUACUCAUAAUCAAAGCAUGAAUUUAUAUUUGUAUACUCAUACAUAUUCGAAUCUAAUAUAUAUACAUCCAUAAUUUCAUUCCUAAAUCCAUAUAAGGUAUCAUGCAUGUAUAUGCAAACUUGUUCGAUCCACA
RNAcentral lists this long non-coding RNA (241 nucleotides) under Gossypium barbadense (sea-island cotton). RNAcentral describes it as "long non-coding RNA (GBAR_LNC021487)". Lineage: Eukaryota; Viridiplantae; Streptophyta; Magnoliopsida; Malvales; Malvaceae. The record is from RNAcentral.